AUUGAACGCUGGCGGCAUGCCUUACACAUGCCAGUCGAACGGUAACAGGUUAAGCUGACGAGUGGCGAACGGGUGAGUAAUGUAUCGGAACGUGCCCAGUCGUGGGGGAUAACUGCUCGAAAGAGCAGCUAAUACCGCAUACGACCUGAGGGUGAAAGCGGGGGAUCGCAAGACCUCGCGCGAUUGGAGCGGCCGAUAUCAGAUUAGGUAGUUGGUGAGGUAAAGGCUCACCAAGCCGACGAUCUGUAGCCGGUCUGAGAGGACGACCAGCCACACUGGGACUGAGACACGGCCCAGACUCCUACGGGAGGCAGCAGUGGGGAAUUUUGGACAAUGGGCGCAAGCCUGAUCCAGCCAUGCCGCGUGCGGGAAGAAGGCCUUCGGGUUGUAAACCGCUUUUGUCAGGGAAGAAAAGGUUCUGGCUAAUACCUGGGACUCAUGACGGUACCUGAAGAAUAAGCACCGGCUAACUACGUG
This 477-nucleotide ribosomal RNA is filed under the name uncultured bacterium. RNAcentral describes it as "partial 16S ribosomal RNA". It matches the Rfam family "Bacterial small subunit ribosomal RNA", at positions 30 to 507 of the family's 1533-position model. The record is from RNAcentral.